UGCGUAGGCGGCUAUAAGGGUCAGAUGUGAAAUCCCACAGCUCAACUGUGGAACUGCGUUUGAAACCGUGUAGCUUGAGGAAGUCAGAGGUAAGCGGAACUGAUGGUGGAGCGGUGAAAUGCGUUGAUAUCAUCAGGAACACCGGUGGCGAAGGCGGCUUACUGGGACUUUUCUGACGCUGAGGCACGAAAGCUAGGGGAGCGAACG
This 207-nucleotide ribosomal RNA is filed under the name uncultured bacterium. RNAcentral describes it as "partial 16S ribosomal RNA". It matches the Rfam family "Bacterial small subunit ribosomal RNA", at positions 568 to 774 of the family's 1533-position model. The record is from RNAcentral.